This is a non-coding RNA of Acanthosepion pharaonis, 83 nucleotides long. NCBI's taxonomy places the organism in Eukaryota, Metazoa, Mollusca, Cephalopoda, Sepiida, Sepiidae. The record is from the annotation of a GenBank genome assembly.
UUAAACACCGGUUCCCGUACGAUCACCGAAGUUAAGCAACGUCAAGCUUGGUCAGUACCUAGGUGAAUGACCGCUUGUAAGCC